Long non-coding RNA from Tachysurus fulvidraco (yellow catfish), 553 nucleotides. RefSeq lists it as uncharacterized. NCBI's taxonomy places the organism in Eukaryota, Metazoa, Chordata, Actinopteri, Siluriformes, Bagridae. The transcript is spliced from 2 exons. The record is from RefSeq and is a predicted model, not a curated record.
CUGUGUCCGUCGGACUGGACGGGAUUAAUAAAGAUUCUGAUUCUGAUUCUCAGAACAACAUAAUCAUGUUGGAUCAGUUCUUCAAAACCCUAUAGCUUAUCUCCCUGCCACUCUUUGAAACUCGUUAACUGCUGUUUGAUAAAAUAUUCCAGUACAUACCCGAGGAUAUUAACGACUAACCGCUAUGGAUCCAGCAGAAAUCUUGUUUUGCCUACGACAGGAGGCCCCAAUUGAGGAUUAUGCGGAGGUAUUCGUGGACCUGUGUAACUAGGUGGACUUUGGGGAAAAGGCCCUGAAAGACAUCUUCAGGCAUGGACUGGAGAGCAAGGUGCGCUACUUAGUGAAUAGAUUCAGCAUUUCCAUAAGUUUUCUUUUGACAGAAAUUUGUGUCUGGUUUGUCAAACAAACUUUUAGGCAGAAUGUCAAUAAAUGAUGGAUGAAUGAUGCUUUGCUAGUUCCUGUUAUUUUGAUUUUAUAUCAGAUAUAUCCUGUUGUUCCAACACCAGUCUCUAUUUUUCAGGUACAUCACACGAAGUAUCAUUAAAAAAACAAA